Molecule: non-coding RNA, 94 nt
Organism: Microbacterium sediminis
Lineage: Bacteria; Bacillati; Actinomycetota; Actinomycetes; Micrococcales; Microbacteriaceae
Source: Rfam
UCCGAGCCCCCGGCCGUGACUCCCUGCCGCAACCUGACGCCACUUCCCCGGCGCCAGGCGGCGGAGGGGAAUCAGGGUCGGGGGACACGAGGCC